GACGAACGCUGGCGGCGUGCUUAACACAUGCAAGUCGAACGGUAAGGCCCUUCGGGGUACACGAGUGGCGAACGGGUAAGUAACACGUGGGUGAUCUGCCCUGCACUUCGGGAUAAGCCUGGGAAACUGGGUCUAAUACCGGAUAGGACCCUGGGAUGCAUGUCCUGGUGUGGAAAGCUUUUGCGGUGUGGGAUGGGCCCGCGGCCUAUAAGCUUGUUGGUGGGGUGAUGGUCUACCAAGGCGACGACGGGUAGCCGGCCUGAGAGGGUGACCGGCCACACUGGGACUGAGAUACGGCCCAGACUCCUACGGGAGGCAGCAGUGGGGAAUAUUGCACAAUGGGCGCAAGCCUGAUGCAGCGACGCCGCGUGAGGGAUGACGGCCUUCGGGUUGUAAACCUCUUUCAGCACCGACGAAGCGCAAGUGACGGUAGGUGCAGAAGAAGGACCGGCCAACUACGUGCCAGCAGCCGCAGUAA
Molecule: ribosomal RNA, 478 nt
Filed under: uncultured bacterium
Lineage: Bacteria
Description: partial 16S ribosomal RNA
Rfam family: Bacterial small subunit ribosomal RNA
Source: RNAcentral